Xenopus laevis (African clawed frog) is the source of this 1137-nucleotide long non-coding RNA. RefSeq lists it as uncharacterized. Lineage: Eukaryota; Metazoa; Chordata; Amphibia; Anura; Pipidae. The transcript is spliced from 3 exons. The record is from RefSeq and is a predicted model, not a curated record.
AUUUUGCAUCGUUUACUUUCAGAAAAAAGUAUGAGCGGGUAAAAGCAACCGCUGGUAACGACAAAGUUGGUGACUAUCGACAGCGUCACUGGUUUCCUGUAUCCGACACGUGGGCACAAUAUUGUUGACAGGUGUAUCAUGAAGAAAGUGAGACCAACAAUCUUUUGGAAAGAUUUUUCCACACUUUGAAAUAUCAAUUUUUGGAAGAAAAAGCAAAGAUGAGAUUAGAAAUGUUAGUUUGUCUGCUAACUCUCAAUAAGUUGAGAAAUAUUACAAGCAUUUAACUGAACUUCACAAGGCUGGACGUAUAACAAGUUCACAAGAAAAGCAGGACAUUUUCAGUAGAGUGGAGAAAAAGAUGAUCGUGAACCAGGAAAAUAACACAAUGAUAAUGUCAUUUAUAACAUUUGUGAUUUGCAAACCUAUUGCAUUUUCCACAACUCUCCUGUCAAGGGAAAACAUUUCUUUGGAUCAGCUCAGAAAGUCAGAAUGUAAUUUUUUAAUAGAAAGAAGAAAGUAUAUUCAGGAAGGAUCAACACUUAUAUCAUUAACAGAGAUGAUGAAAUGAGCAUUGUCCAUAAGAGUAAGUGCUCUUGUAGGACAAACCGUUUUGGAGAGACAUGUGUUUGUAUUAUGAUUGCCAUUGCUCUAAAAAAAACUCUACCAGCAAACCAACAAAACAUACAGCAGGUACACUUCAAGCUAUAGAUGAAAUAAAAAUGUCCAAAUCAGCUAUUCAGUUUCAAGAUACUUUUGAAAUUGAAGAAGAAUUAGACGUUGUUACACCAACUGUCCUAUCUACCCAGAAUUUGGUUCAGGAUUUAUAUACAUGGGUAAAUUGCUUAUAACAAAGCAUUACAUAACGCACUAAAAUAAAAAGCGCAUGCAAUUGUCUUUUCAAACUUUGAAACAAAAAGCAGAAAAAAGAACAUUGUUCCCAUACGGUUAAACUGAGGGAAAACAAAAAUAUUCAUUCAAGCAUUUCUUCUUAUAGAAGGGGAAAAAAGAAUUACAAAAUAAAAAGAUGAACACUUUGAACUGUAGGAAGCUUCCUCAAAAGUAUUGCUAAAAACUGUGUAGUAAACUAUAUUGUAAUAAAAUGAUUACAUUUUGGGGCACAUUUACCUAGGGUCGAAU